UCUCAGUGUGACCAACACUCUUAAAUAUCGGCCAUUUGGCACCCAAAAAAACCAACAAAACAAAACAAAAAACUUAAGCUUUGAUGUUAUUCCAUAAGAGGAUGAUGGAUUGUUUAAAGAUUAUUUUAUAAGGUUCCUCAGAUCAGAAAGAAAAAAAGGGGGGGGGGAAUAAUUUCAGUUAACAGCUAGGAGAAAUGUAGGGUAAUUUUUUUUUUGUUCUGAGAUGUAAAGAAGUGGACAGAUAAGGAGAUUUAAUAUCAAACGUUACUUGGCAUCUUCCAGGGGACAAGGAGAGCAGCGGCUAUUAGAAAAUUGAUUCUUAUGGUUCCUGUGUUCUUUGUCUUUUCUUCUUUAUAACCCCCAAGGACCGCCAUCAGCAACACAGUAUUCCUUUCCUAUACUCUUCCUUUUAUCCCUGGCUUUCUUUGGUCCCCCAGAAGAAAUCUGCUCUCUGAGGAUUCACAAUGGUGUGUAUUUUAUUUUUACAGUGCCAGGAAGAGAGAAGGGACAUUUUUAUUUUUCUGGAGUUAGGUCUGUGCUCUCUGACAGGAACUGGCAUUACAGUGCCAGGCAAGUCUCCACACUCACAGUGGUCUAGGUGAGCCAGUACCUGCCUAAAACCCAGGGGCAACUGUCAGGAUGCCAACCAUGUCCCGGGGGAGCAAGGACCCAAGCUUCCAAAUCUUAUUCUCUAAAGAAGAUGUGAAACCUGGAUUUUUAUAUGAAACCUACCUAUUUUUAAAAAGUUGGCACAGUUAUUUUUAAAACAUUAUGUAGGCCAACAAAGCCUGCCUGUGGGCCGCCAGUCUGUUCCUUCUGUCUUAGAGAGAGUCAUUGUUCCCCACUGUAUCUGUCUGUCUUUCCCUGCAAACUCUCUUUCUUCAUGACUGCCACUGACAGGUGCAUUAAGCAAGUUCUGACAGGAACUUCACCCGUCCAAAGGUGCACAGCUGUCUGUUACCCUGUGACUCCCUCCUAGCUGGGACCCCAGGCCCUGUCACCUUGCUGGGUUGUCCCUACAGUCCUGUCUUCUCAACAUUCUCCAAGUGCAGAGCCAUCCUGGUCCUAGUCAGCACUCUCCUCCGCUUUAUCUGACACAAAUCCCUUCUCUCCAGGUGCCAUGUCUUCUAGACUCUCAAGAGAGCAGAAUGAGAUGAGAUGAGUCCCGCUCCCCCAUCUCCAUGCUGGCCUCAGUGGACUGAUGGCCCUACUUAGCUACAAAACAUCACCUCAAAGAGAUAGGGUUCCAUAGCUUGUUGACCUGCCAUGGUUGGGUCUCUGGGGCGUGGUUGGGUCGCUCAGGCAGCUGAGAUGGAGUAACAAAGAGCUUCUGACACCACAGCAGCCAACAUAGAAACUGUCCUAAGACUGAAGAGGGCUGUCUCCCAGUAGGAGACAUGAACCCCAGUACAUAUUAGAGAGAAUCAGCUCAGCAGUCCCCCCUCCCACCCCUCCAGUCUCAGGCCUCCCCACAGCCAAGAAAACCAGCGCAUUCUGCCUUCAUCUUGGCCCUCUACUCUUCGGGACCCUGAACCAAGCUCACAAUAGCUAGGGGUCUUGAAGCCUGAGCAGGCUUACACAGGGGUUUGCAGAGUAAGUGACUGAGAGAGUGUGCGACUGAAUGCAGUUUCAGGGGCAUGCUGAGAGAACAAGCAGGGGGCACUUCCUUGCUUCUGCUCCCCCCCACCCUCUACCCCCAUCUUUCUAAACUGACCCCAUGAUAGACAGAGAAUGUUGUCUGGUUUUGUUGGCAGCUCUGCCUAAUUAUAACACACUGAACUCUCCACCACCCCUUCUUGCAAACUAGACUCUCAAGCCUGUGCUGACUUCUGCCUGUGAGGGGGUGAAACACACCUCCACCUGCUUUGAUACAUGCUGUCUAGAGUCCCUCCCUUUGCUUCCAUCUCAUUCUUUCACACUCUAAUUGAAACUCACUUCAUCUUGUUUGGUCUAGACUAGAGAUUCACGGGGAGGGCUCCGCUGAAGGGGGACGAUUCCAUACAACAGGGAGCUCAGGAGGUGGCUGCCUCCAGCUGUGUGGGCUGUGCCAGGCUCUCUGCUUUAUGAUGACAGAGCUCCCGGGAUCCUGUAGCUCAGCAGACCUGACUCCAAGGAACCUGGUACAGAAGUUGCCAUUAAGAACAUUCUGCUCCUUUUGCAUACCUCAAUACUUAGCAAUCUGUCAAGUUUACCUAAGGGCACCUGGGACAGCUGAGGGCUCUCCUGAAUUUAAAUUGCUUUCGGGUGAGUGCUGCCAGGCUUAAAUUAGGUUGACAGAAUUCCCGGCCCAGAAAGUUUGAUAGCAGUUUUCACUUGAGAGGCGGCUUCCCAGUGUGGAUAACUAUUUCCUUGUCCUGGUCUCGGGGACAGAGGGACCUCCCAAGCUACUCGAGCAUGACAUAAAUCAUUCACUCUGCAUUUAGUCUGGACUCACACUUCAGGGUAGCCAGUGAUAGUGAAGCAACUCCCAAACCCACACUACACCCCAUUGUCUGUGUUCUGAGUCUUAGUGUUCUUGGGAGGGAGAAAAACGUAUAAGAAGCAAGGAAAAGAACCGGAAUUUUUCUCACCAGCUUAAUUUUAGCCGAUGCAUAUAUGAACUCACAAACAAAUAAGAAGUAGCAAGACAUUCUCAAGAAAGAUGUGUCCCUGGGCUUCAUCCCUAUUGGGUCCAAACCCAUUUGCUGGAAUCCAGAGGCAGCUCGUGACUCACUUUUGUGCCUUUUUUCCCCUAUAAUAUUCUGGGUUUUCAAGUCUCUUUUUUCACAUUUCCUGUAAACAAUGCAUCUCUUUUUUUAAAAAAGAUUUUACUUUUAAGUACUGUUUUAACAGUGUGGCUAGACUAUAAAUGUACUUGCUGAAUUCAUCCAUUUCUUUAACAAGCCAAUAAAGUUUUAUGAUUC
Molecule: long non-coding RNA, 2903 nt
Filed under: Mus musculus (house mouse)
Lineage: Eukaryota; Metazoa; Chordata; Mammalia; Rodentia; Muridae
Description: long non-coding RNA chr13:58934121-58937024
Source: RNAcentral